RNAcentral lists this ribosomal RNA (558 nucleotides) under Colletotrichum gloeosporioides. RNAcentral describes it as "eukaryotic LSU rRNA". The stretch from base 191 to 344 matches the Rfam family "5.8S ribosomal RNA". Lineage: Eukaryota; Fungi; Ascomycota; Sordariomycetes; Glomerellales; Glomerellaceae. The record is from RNAcentral.
CCUGCGGAGGGAUCAUUACUGAGUUUACGCUCUACAACCCUUUGUGAACAUACCUAUAACUGUUGCUUCGGCGGGUAGGGUCUCCGCGACCCUCCCGGCCUCCCGCCUCCGGGCGGGUCGGCGCCCGCCGGAGGAUAACCAAACUCUGAUUUAACGACGUUUCUUCUGAGUGGUACAAGCAAAUAAUCAAAACUUUUAACAACGGAUCUCUUGGUUCUGGCAUCGAUGAAGAACGCAGCGAAAUGCGAUAAGUAAUGUGAAUUGCAGAAUUCAGUGAAUCAUCGAAUCUUUGAACGCACAUUGCGCCCGCCAGCAUUCUGGCGGGCAUGCCUGUUCGAGCGUCAUUUCAACCCUCAAGCUCUGCUUGGUGUUGGGGCCCUACAGCUGAUGUAGGCCCUCAAAGGUAGUGGCGGACCCUCUCGGAGCCUCCUUUGCGUAGUAACUUUACGUCUCGCACUGGGAUCCGGAGGGACUCUUGCCGUAAAACCCCCAAUUCUCCAAAGGUUGACCUCGGAUCAGGUAGGAAUACCCGCUGAACUUAAGCAUAUCAAAAGGGGG